Molecule: unclassified non-coding RNA, 229 nt
Filed under: uncultured Suillus
Lineage: Eukaryota; Fungi; Basidiomycota; Agaricomycetes; Boletales; Suillaceae
Description: sequence contains ITS2
Source: RNAcentral
AAUUCUCAACUCCUCUCAAUUGACUUCAAGUGGAGCUUGGAUGAUGGGGGCUGCCGGAGACCUGAAUAUGAAUAUAAAUAUUCGGGACUUAGGCUCCUCUCAAAUGUAUUGGCUUGCGGUCUGUUUUUGACUUUGCAUGACAAGGCUUUUGAUGUGAUAAUGAUCACCACUCGCUGAAGUGCAUGAAUGAAACUGUGCUGUGCCUCUAUGGGGGGUGUCUUCUUUAUGC